UUAUCUUUUUCUUAUUAUUUUUAUUAAUAUUUUUAUUCUUUUUUAAAAAAAAUUUAUUGUUAAAGUAUUUUUUAUAAAAAUAAUUAUUUUAUUUAUAGUUGAUUGUACCGUGAGGGUAAGUUUUUUUAUUAAAAAAGUAGAAUUUGUUUUUUGUACCUUUUGUAUCAGGGUUUAUUAAAAUACUUUCAAUUAUUUGAUUUUCCCGAAACUGAGAGGGCUAGAUUUGUAUUGUUUUUUAAUGUUUCAUAAUUAUUGAUAAAUACAGUUUAGAGAUGAUAUGUUAUUCAAUCUUAGAUAUCUGGUUUCUUAAUAAUUGAAUUUAAUUCAGGAUUUUAAAGUACUUUUUAAAUUAAAUUAUUUUGUGUUUUAAUUUCUAAUAUUGUUGGGGAUAAGCUCGGCAUUAUUUCUAUAAUAACUUUAUUUAAAAAAGUUUGUAGGCUUAAUAACAGCCAUCAUUUAUUUCGUUAUAGUUGAUUUUUUCUUAGUUUGAUUUAUUUUUUAUUUAGAUAUUUAUUAAGUAAUAUUAAUUAUUUAUUAAUUAAUUGUUAUAAUGAUAGAAUUAGUAUUUUAUAAAAUUUAUAUAUAGGAACUCGGCAAAUAUUACCUUCGCCUGUUUAACAAAAACAUGUCCUUUUGUUAUUUAUUUAAGGUCUGACCUGCCCAAUGAUUUAUUUAAUGGCCGCGGUAUUCUGACCGUGCAAAGGUAGCAUAAUCAUUUGUCUUUUAAUUGAAGGCUUGUAUGAAUGGUUGGACGAGGGGUAUUCUUUCUUUAUAUAAUUAUAAUUAAUUUAAUUUUUAAGUCAAAAAGCUUAAAUUUUUUUAUAGGACGAGAAGACCCUAUAGAACUUUAUUUUUAAUGUUAUAUUUGAUAUUUGGUUUAUAUUUUAUUAAGUAUUUCCUAUAAAAUUUUGUUGGGGUGACAGGGGGAUUUUCUUAGCUCCCUUAAAUUUUUACACAUGAAUUAAUGUAUUGUUGAUCCAAAAUUUUUGAUUAUUAGAUUAAGUUACCUUAGGGAUAACAGCGUAAUUCUAUUGGAGAGUUCUUAUCGAUAAUAGAGUUUGCGACCUCGAUGUUGAAUUAAGAUAAGUUCUGGGUGCAAAAUUUCAGUUACUAGGUCUGUUCGACCUUUAAAUUCUUACAUGAUUUGAGUUCAAACCGGCGUGAGCCAGGUUGGUUUCUAUCCUUAAUAUAAUUAAUUAUCUUAGUACGAAAGGACCAGGUAAUUUAAAUGAUAUUUAUGUGUUUUGAGUAAAUUU
This 1256-nucleotide ribosomal RNA is filed under the name Ilyocoris cimicoides. Its description in RNAcentral is "16S ribosomal RNA". The stretch from base 825 to 1183 matches the Rfam family "Archaeal large subunit ribosomal RNA", at positions 2155 to 2712 of the family's 2987-position model. Lineage: Eukaryota; Metazoa; Arthropoda; Insecta; Hemiptera; Naucoridae. The record is from RNAcentral.